This 497-nucleotide ribosomal RNA is filed under the name uncultured bacterium. RNAcentral's name for it is "partial 16S ribosomal RNA". It matches the Rfam family "Bacterial small subunit ribosomal RNA", at positions 28 to 507 of the family's 1533-position model. The record is from RNAcentral.
GAUGAACGCUGGCGGCGUGCCUAAUACAUGCAAGUCGAGCGAACGGACGAGAAGCUUGCUUCUCUGAUGUUAGCGGCGGACGGGUGAGUAACACGUGGAUAACCUACCUAUAAGACUGGGAUAACUUCGGGAAACCGGAGCUAAUACCGGAUAAUAUUUUGAACCGCAUGGUUCAAAAGUGAAAGACGGUCUUGCUGGCACUUAUAGAUGGAUCCGCGCUGCAUUAGCUAGUUGGUAAGGUAACGGCUUACCAAGGCAACGAUGCAUAGCCGACCUGAGAGGGUGAUAGGCCACACGGGAAGUGAGACACGGUCCAGACUACUACGGGAGGCAGCAGUAGGGAAUCUGACGCAAUGGGCGAAAGCCUGACGGAGCAACGCCGCGUGAGUGAUGAAGGUCUUCGGAUCGUAAAAAUCUGUUAUUAGGGAAGAACAUAUGUGUAAGUAACUGUGCAGAUCUUGACGGUACCUAAUCAGAAAGCCACGGCUAACUACGUG